CCUACGGGUGGCAGCAGUGGGGAAUAUUGCGCAAUGGGCGAAAGCCUGACGCAGCGACGCCGCGUGAGGGAUGAAGGUCUUCGGAUCGUAAACCUCUGUCAGCAGGGAAGAAAGGUCUCUGUGUUAAUCAGCAGUGAAUUGACGGUACCUGCAAAGGAAGCACCGGCUAACUCCGUGCCAGCCGCCGCGGUAAUACGGAGGGUGCGAGCGUUAAUCGGAAUUACUGGGCGUAAAGCGCCCGUAGGCGGUAUGUCAAGUCAAGGGUGAAAUCCCCGGGCUCAACGUGGGAACUGCCUUUGAAACUGGCAAACUGGAGUGUGUGAGAGGAUAGUGGAAUUCCAGGUGUAGGGGUGAAAUGCGUAGAUAUCAGGAGGAACAUCAGUGGCGAAGGCGACUAUCUGGCACAUAACUGACGCUGAGGAGCGAAAGCGUGGGUAGCAAACAGGAUUAGAUACCCCAGUAGUC
Molecule: ribosomal RNA, 465 nt
Filed under: uncultured bacterium
Lineage: Bacteria
Description: partial 16S ribosomal RNA
Rfam family: Bacterial small subunit ribosomal RNA
Source: RNAcentral